RNAcentral lists this long non-coding RNA (227 nucleotides) under Elaeis guineensis (African oil palm). Its description in RNAcentral is "long non-coding RNA (EGUI_LNC065647)". Lineage: Eukaryota; Viridiplantae; Streptophyta; Magnoliopsida; Arecales; Arecaceae. The record is from RNAcentral.
AUGGGGUCGACUACUAUGGCACAGAACAGAAAAUGAUUGUUCUGUAAUUUUGACGUGCAUAGCAAAGAUCGACUCAUAGGGUUGACUCAUGCACAGGGGUCGACUCAUGAGGUCGACUCAAUUGGGUGAGCCAGUCAAAAAAUAGCAUGCCGUUCCACCCCAUAUGAUAUGAGUCGACUCAUGGGAUCGACUCAAUUUUAUAAAAAUAAUUUUCUUUCAAAAUAUAC